ACUGACUCUCAUUUCGGACUCAUCCCACCUGCACCCUGGUGAAAUAAACAGCUUCAUUGCUCACACAAAGCCUGUUUGGUGGUCUCUUCACACGGACGUGCAUGAAAUUUGGUGCCGUGACUCGGAUCGGGGGACCUCCCUUAGGAGAUCAAUCCCCCGUCCUCCUGCUCUUUGCUCCGUGAGAAAGAUCCACCUACGACCUCAGGUCCUCAGACCGACCAGCCCAAGAAACAUGUCACCAAUUUCAAAUCCGACGGAGUUUCGCUCUUGUUGCCCAGGCUGGAGUGUAAUGGCGCAUCUCGGCUCACCGCAACCUCCUCCUCCCGGGUUCAAGUGAUUCUCCUGCCUCAGCCUCCCAAGUAGCUGGGAUUACAGGCAUGUGCCACCAUGCCCAGCUGAAUGAAAUGAAUAUAGAGGAGAACUGAAAGGCCAUGGAGGAUCUGAGCCACUACAUGGAAAGAGCAAGGGUCCAUGAAUGACAGCUUGAAACAGGGUCCCUCUCUGCUGCCAACCUGCAUGGAUGGAGACAUGAAUAAGAAAUAAGCACUACUGAGUCAAGACAGAGAGAUCUGAAGGUUGAUUGUUAUAGCAGUUGGACUUCCCUAUUAUCUAAUAUACUGUGCUAUCUUCCAAUGCUUAGCUAGUAAGGGGGGCUCUAGGGAUACCAGUUAAAGAACUCUGGAAUGCAUCCCUUGCAAGUCUGAGAUAUGAAAGGCCACAAUUAGGUCAUGUUAAGAAAUCUAAAGCUGACUGUAGACUGAAGUCUGGCUUCAGUAAAUAUGAAAGAGAAAAGAAGAGCUGACUAACUGCUUUGAAUUAGAGCCAGGAGAGACUGUUGCAUUGCUACUGACCUGCAGUUAGAAAGUUCAUCAGGGCAAGGAGCCAGUGAUUGUUUCCCAGGGAACAUGUGUGGGCCAAUGAUACAGAGCUCACUGGAGUCUUGGUUGGUUUUGUCCAGUAGGUCUGCCUGGAGGGAGAAGGAAAACUUACAAAAGGAGACUGGGGGUAUACUUGUGUGUGAAGGCCCAGAUAAUGAGGACAGAUCCCCAGAGACCUCCUAGAAUAGCUAGAAAAGCCUGGGGUCAAAGAAGCUGCAGGGGAGGAGUGUCCAACAUGAAACCUCUGAGGAGUUCAGGGAAACACCCCAAGAGAAAGGAAGUCAGCUUUAAUCUUCGGCAGGGCCUAGAGAGUGAGAAGUCAAUCAGGAAUAAUAAAUGACCCAUCUCCUUGUCCCCUGUACCCUUUGAACCAGAGGGGAGCAAAACAGAAGCUAGCUAAUGAAAGAUGUGUUAUAGAAUUCAGGGUAACUGAGGUUAUGCUGCAGAAGCAAAUAACAAAAAGAUCUCGAGGACUUCUUGUUUAAGUUCUUUUUUUCUUCACAUACAUUUAUUUUCUGUUCACACUACAGUAUGUUAUCAGUUAGCAUGGGUCUCUGUUCAGCAUAGUUCAGGCAGGCACACAGGCCAAUAGAGGUUCUGUCUUGAUACAUAUUUCCAAAAGACAUUGUCAUUGCAUAAGCACAGCAUUGGAACACUGUGUGACUGUCCUAUGGACCUCAACUGUCCCAUUUUUAACCACUGUGUGACUGUCCUGUGGACCUCAACUGUCCCAUUUUUAAAAUGGGAAUUCAUGAAAUGAGGCAGAAAAAAGGAACAACACAUAUCGACAUUUCUCA
RNAcentral lists this long non-coding RNA (1675 nucleotides) under Homo sapiens (human). RNAcentral's name for it is "non-protein coding lnc-DEC1-3:4". The record is from RNAcentral. Lineage: Eukaryota; Metazoa; Chordata; Mammalia; Primates; Hominidae.